This 72-nucleotide transfer RNA is filed under the name Cricetulus griseus (Chinese hamster). It matches the Rfam family "tRNA". Rfam says of the family: Transfer RNA (tRNA) molecules are approximately 80 nucleotides in length. Lineage: Eukaryota; Metazoa; Chordata; Mammalia; Rodentia; Cricetidae. The record is from Rfam by way of RNAcentral.
UCCCUGGUGGUCUAAAGGUUAGGAUUCGGCGCUCUUACUGCCAUGGCCCUGGUUCGAAUCCUGGUCAGGGAA